RNAcentral lists this ribosomal RNA (468 nucleotides) under uncultured bacterium. Its description in RNAcentral is "partial 16S ribosomal RNA". It matches the Rfam family "Bacterial small subunit ribosomal RNA", at positions 28 to 507 of the family's 1533-position model. The record is from RNAcentral.
GACGAACGCUGGCGGCGUGCUUAACACAUGCAAGUCGAACGGAAAGGCCCUGCUUUUGUGGGGUGCUCGAGUGGCGAACGGGUGAGUAACACGUGAGUAACCUGCCCUUGACUUUGGGAUAACUUCAGGAAACUGGGGCUAAUACCGGAUAGGACCUCCUGCUGCAUGGUGGGGGUUGGAAAGUUUCGGCGGUUGGGGAUGGACUCGCGGCUUAUCAGCUUGUUGGUGGGGUAGUGGCUUACCAAGGCUUUGACGGGUAGCCGGCCUGAGAGGGUGACCGGCCACAUUGGGACUGAGAUACGGCCCAGACUCCUACGGGAGGCAGCAGUGGGGAAUAGUGCACAAUGGGCGGAAGCCUGAUGCAGCAACGCCGCGUGCGGGAUGACGGCCUUCGGGGUGUAAACCGCUUGCGCCUGUGACGAAGCGUGAGUGACGGUAAUGGGUAAAGAAGCACCGGCUAACUACGUG